Molecule: ribosomal RNA, 492 nt
Filed under: uncultured bacterium
Lineage: Bacteria
Description: partial 16S ribosomal RNA
Rfam family: Bacterial small subunit ribosomal RNA
Source: RNAcentral
AGUGAAUGCUGGCGGUAGGCCUAACACAUGCAAGUCGAACGGCAGCACAGUAAGAGCUUGCUCUUACGGGUGGCGAGUGGCGGACGGGUGAGGAAUACAUCGGAAUCUACUUUUUCGUGGGGGAUAACGUAGGGAAACUUACGCUAAUACCGCAUACGACCUACGGGUGAAAGCAGGGGAUCUUCGGACCUUGCGCGAUUGAAUGAGCCGAUGUCGGAUUAGCUAGUUGGCGGGGUAAAGGCCCACCAAGGCGACGAUCCGUAGCUGGUCUGAGAGGAUGAUCAGCGACACUGGAACUGAGACACGGUCCAGACUCCGAGGGGAGGCAGAGGUGGGGAAUAUUGGACAAUGGGCGCAAGCCUGAUCCAGCCAUACCGCGUGGGUGAAGAAGGCCUUCGGGUGGUAAAGCCCUUUUGUUGGGAAAGAAAAGCAGCAGGUUAAUACCCCGCUGUUCUGACGGUACCCAAAGAAUAAGCACCGGCUAACUUCGUG